Molecule: long non-coding RNA, 832 nt
Filed under: Pongo abelii (Sumatran orangutan)
Lineage: Eukaryota; Metazoa; Chordata; Mammalia; Primates; Hominidae
Description: lincRNA
Source: RNAcentral
UAUUAAGUGUCUAGGAGCACUGGUUUUGCUGAUAAAGCAAACUCUAUGGGGCUGACUUAUUGGUUAACUAGUCAUUGUCUAGAUGAAGAAACUGAGGCUUGGAAAGAAUAAAAACUGCCUGAAGCCACACAGAUGGUAAGUGGCAGAGCUGGUUGACUGCAGCUCCAUCUGGCUUCAAUAUCUGUACACUUCCCACCCCUGACGCUGACACUGGGUCUGUGUGACACUUGGAUAUCGGAAGGAGCUGCAGCUGGCCUGAGGCACCUCAAGGAGGGGGCGGCUGGUUUCUGUGCAGUAAGAUGCUAUGUGACUGCGCCGAACCCGCUUCUGUAAAAUGGGUCCACCAAUAACAGGAUGGGGAUACAUUCUGGGAAAUGCAUUGUUAGGUGAUUUCAUCAUUGUGUGAACACACCAUAGAGGGCACUUACACACACCUGGAUGGUAUGGCCUGCUACACACCUAGGCUAUAUUGUACAGCCUAUUGCUCCCAGGCCACAAACUUGUACAGCAUAUCAUCCACUGAAUGCUGUAGACAUUUAUAACUCAAUGGCACCAAAGAAGGCCCAGAGAGGUUUAACAGUUUCCUCAGAAUCACACAGCUUCCAAAUGGUUGGGCUGGGUUUACAUUUAGGCGGUCUUGCUCCAGAGCCAGUGCUCCUAAGCAUUGCAAGCCACGAACCUCAACAAAGUGAAGGAAACGCUGGGAAAUUUGGAAGUCAGAUAUGCCUAGUUUAUCUCCCGGGAGAUGACUUUAUUUCUAAACGUAUAGGGGUUUCUUAGAGGAGCUUCAGAAUACUAAUCAUCGCUGGUGAGGGCACUUGAACACUGUGCU